RNAcentral lists this ribosomal RNA (245 nucleotides) under uncultured Lachnospiraceae bacterium. RNAcentral describes it as "partial 16S ribosomal RNA". It matches the Rfam family "Bacterial small subunit ribosomal RNA", at positions 94 to 339 of the family's 1533-position model. The record is from RNAcentral. Lineage: Bacteria; Bacillati; Bacillota; Clostridia; Lachnospirales; Lachnospiraceae.
AGUGGCGGACGGGUGAGUAACGCGUGGAUAACCUGCCUCACACUGGGGGAUAACAGUUAGAAAUGACUGCUAAUACCGCAUAAGCGCACGGCAUCGCAUGAUGCAGUGUGAAAAACUCCGGUGGUGUGAGAUGGAUCCGCGUCUGAUUAGCCAGUUGGCGGGGUAACGGCCCACCAAAGCGACGAUCAGUAGCCGACCUGAGAGGGUGACCGGCCACAUUGGGACUGAGACACGGCCCAAACUCC